UGGGGAAUAUUGCGCAAUGGGGGCAACCCUGACGCAGCAACGCCGCGUGCGGGACGACGGCCUUCGGGUUGUAAACCGCUUUCAGCAGGGAAGAUAGUGACGGUACCUGCACAAGAAGCCCCGGCUAACUACGUGCCAGCAGCCGCGGUAAUACGUAGGGGGCGAGCGUUAUCCGGAUUUACUGGGCGUAAAGGGCGUGUAGGCGGCUAGAUAAGUGUGAUGUUUAAAUCCAAGGCUUAACCUUGGGGUUCAUUACAAACUGUUUAGCUUGAGUGCUGGAGAGGAUAGUGGAAUUCCUAGUGUAGCGGUAAAAUGCGUAGAUAUUAGGAGGAACACCGGUGGCGAAGGCGGCUAUCUGGACAGUAACUGACGCUGAGGCGCGAAAGCGUGGGGAGCAAACAGG
RNAcentral lists this ribosomal RNA (403 nucleotides) under Verrucomicrobiota bacterium. RNAcentral describes it as "Verrucomicrobia bacterium partial 16S ribosomal RNA". It matches the Rfam family "Bacterial small subunit ribosomal RNA", at positions 355 to 776 of the family's 1533-position model. The record is from RNAcentral. Lineage: Bacteria; Pseudomonadati; Verrucomicrobiota.